AUUGAACGCUGGCGGCAUGCCUUACACAUGCAAGUCGAACGGCAGCACGGGUGCUUGCACCUGGUGGCGAGUGGCGAACGGGUGAGUAAUACAUCGGAACAUGUCCUGUAGUGGGGGAUAGCCCGGCGAAAGCCGGAUUAAUACCGCAUACGAUCCACGGAUGAAAGCGGGGGACCUUCGGGCCUCGCGCUAUAGGGUUGGCCGAUGGCUGAUUAGCUAGUUGGUGGGGUUAAGGCCUACCAAGGCGACGAUCAGUAGCUGGUCUGAGAGGACGACCAGCCACACUGGGACUGAGACACGGCCCAGACUCCUACGGGAGGCAGCAGUGGGGAAUUUUGGACAAUGGGCGAAAGCCUGAUCCAGCAAUGCCGCGUGUGUGAAGAAGGCCUUCGGGUUGUAAAGCACUUUUGUCCGGAAAGAAAUCCUUGACUCUAAUACAGUCGGGGGAUGACGGUACCGGAAGAAUAAGCACCGGCUAACUACGUG
This 486-nucleotide ribosomal RNA is filed under the name uncultured bacterium. RNAcentral's name for it is "partial 16S ribosomal RNA". It matches the Rfam family "Bacterial small subunit ribosomal RNA", at positions 30 to 507 of the family's 1533-position model. The record is from RNAcentral.